UUGAUUACAUUUAUCAAUUGGUGUGUAUUUGGUUUCUGGUGUUUCUGCAGCCAGCCUCAAGCGGGUUCUUGCUGAAUGGCAGUUUAUAACACUUCUGCAUAGGCUUCAUAUUUUGAGACCAGAGGUUGCCGCUUGGGGAGGACAUGCCUGAAAGAAAUCGCUGUGCCUACCAUCUCCACAUGAGAGUCUCCAAGAGCUCUCCAGAGGAAGGCUUCUGCUGCAGAGAAAAAGCUUGGUGCAGCUCAAGAAAAGCUGAAGUUGAGAAGCCAGCAGACUAGAAGACUGAGGGCAGAAAUUUCUUCUUUGAAAGAUGUGGUUGAAGUGCUUCAGAAGCUCUUCUCAUUUCUGCUGAAUGUUCCGCCCUGCUAAAUAGUCUGGACGAUUUUCCCAGAACGAUCUUUCAGAGAAUGCUGAAGAAGAAAGUCUGUGUUUCACUGCACUUCUACUCUACAAAGGCCUAUGACUAUGUUAGGGAGAAGUUUGUCUGGGCUUUGCCUCAUCCCCAAACCAUCAGGAAGUAGUACAGUAGCAUCUCUGCAGAUCCUGGAUUAACUGUUGCUUCUUUCACAGCUUUGAAAAGUUGUGUUGUUUAACAGAAAAAAGCAGGGACAGACACAGUUUGCUCAUUGAUGAUGGAUGAAAUGUACAUUCACAAGCAAACUGAGUUUGGAGGGGACCAGAUCCACAGCUAUGUUGACAUCGAGCUGCAUGGCAGGACAAGAGAAAACAAACAUCACCAGAGGGAGCCUGAUUAGGCUUCAUGCAGUUGUUGUAAGGGUUGUCUCCUUGACAUGUGAUGGACCCUCCCGGAACUUCACAACGCUGAAGGAGCUUGGUGCCAAUUUGGACCUCAUGGACACGAGAUCUUUCUUUUUCCACCCUGAGGAUCCCACUCAAAAAGUCCAUGUCCUCUUGGAUCAAUGUCAGAUGCUAAAGCUUCUUCAUAAGAUUUUUUCAACAGUCGAAGCUCUGUUGAGAGAAGAUGGCCAGCAGAUAAGGUGGCAGUACAUUGAGGAGCUUCACAAGCUUCAGGAGAAGGAAGGAUUGCGUCUUGGAAACAAGCUGAAAAUGGCCAACAUUCAGUGGCGCAAUCAAAAGGUCUUGCCCACAAUUGAUUGGAUGUUUGAUGUCAUUAACAGCCGCAACCCAUUUGGGAAAUUUUAUAAAGCCCCCAUUAAACCAACAACUAGAGAUCGUGCCAAGGUAAUUGAAGUAGAAACGGAGUCACUUCUUCUUGGGCUCAGAAUGAAAGGUAAAGAUCAUCAACUUUUACAAGUCCAUCCAACACAAAAGAAAACAUCAAUCUAUGGUUUCAUUGCUUGUGCCAGAAGUGUGAUGGGCAUUUAUGAAGAUCUGGUAGAGCAGUCUUCUGACCUACAAGCUCAGCAAGGACCACUUGGAGCUGCUCUUCUCUGCAAUCAGAGCACGUGGUGGUUUCAACAACAACCCCAAUGUGAGGCAGUUCAGAGGGGCAUACAAGCGCCUCCUUGUAAGACAAGAGGCACAGAUAACUUGUCUCCUUUGUGACAACACAGCUAUUAUUGAGUCAACACCUGCAACUGUGAACAUUGCACGCAGACUGGAUGUGGAGCCAGUUGAAGUUUUUGGGCCUGAGGAUGACAGUCUGUCUGACCUCUCAGAUAUUGACGGUCUAUCUGAGUACAAGGUAGAAGCUAUUUCUUACAUCAUAGGCUUUAUUGUCAAGAAGAUGAAACAGAAGAUUACCUGCAUGCCUUGCUCACAAGCACUAGCCUCAGAUGACUCAGUUCAUCAUUUCUGUCAUGAGUCGAUAUUUAGUUUUUUUGCUUGUGUCCAUGCCUUGGUUUUCCUGUUUAUUCUGUAUUAGUUAUCCUUUUGGUCCAUGUCCCUUUUUGCACUUUCUUGUGUUUCUCAGUCUUGUGUUAUGUUCCCUGUUUUUUGGUUCUGAUCGUCCAUGUGUGUUUCCCUCCUUUUUGAUUCCCCUCAUUAGUUUCACCUGUCUCCUAUGCUCAUCACCUGUGUUAAUUACUCUGUGUAUUUAGUUCCUCUGCUUCCCCUGUCUCUUGUCAGAUCAUUGUCUACCCCACCUGCAUGUAUUCUCGUGGUUCCUUGUUCCAGUGUGUUCAGUAUUCUUGUUCAGUAAGUUUUGGUUUAUUAAAUUCUUUAUUUUUGUAUCUGCAUCUUGGGUCCUCCUCCUUCAUUUUACCUCAACGUGACAGAAUGAUCUGACCCUUAUCAUGGACCCAGCAGACAAUUUUUAUUUAUCUAAAAAAAUGUGUUACUUUCAGACCUUUUUUUGGAUUCCUCUUUUUUUCCCCUUGGCUGGGGACUCAGUUAGCCUUUUCUCCUGGCAACUGUGGUGGCCACAGGCGGAGACAUGGGAGACAGGACCCCCCAAGUCAUCUCUGGCCCCUUUCUCGCUCUGAGGUCCUGCCGGAGCCCCUUCUUUGCUUGGAGAUCUUGCCAAUGCCCCUUCCUCGCUAAGAGGUCCUGCCAUUUUACCUCAAUGUGACACAUUUCCUUGCUUUGAAGAACAGAAGUGGCCUACAGAAACCAUCACCGGACAUCACUGCAGUCUGCAGAUGCUUUCAGCAUCUUCUAAAUAAGGAUGAGGGUCAGGCUCUACAGGGAAGAGGGAUAACAGCAGCACUUGUCACUCAGGUUCUUUCUGAGCGUGCAGACAAGAAUCUCUUCCCACAGCUGCACAGCCACAUGUUUGACUUCUGUGUUGAAGCCAACCAUGUCCAAGUUCUGGUAAGGAUGUCUUCUGCAUGGUACUGCAAAAUUUGAUUAAACCACAUAACAAAGUCAUAGACUGAGAUAAAAGAAGUUAAGGUGGUCCGCAGAAAGCUCACACAAAUAUUGCAUUUUUAUGGAGAUUAAAAA
Long non-coding RNA from Notolabrus celidotus (New Zealand spotty), 2865 nucleotides. RefSeq lists it as uncharacterized. The transcript is spliced from 3 exons. The record is from RefSeq and is a predicted model, not a curated record. Lineage: Eukaryota; Metazoa; Chordata; Actinopteri; Labriformes; Labridae.